Molecule: ribosomal RNA, 274 nt
Filed under: uncultured bacterium
Lineage: Bacteria
Description: partial 16S ribosomal RNA
Rfam family: Bacterial small subunit ribosomal RNA
Source: RNAcentral
GACGAACGCUGGCGGCGUGCUUAACACAUGCAAGUCGAGCGGUAAGGCCCUUUCGGGGGUACACGAGCGGCGAACGGGUGAGUAACACGUGGGUGACCUGCCCUCAGCUCUGGGAUAAGCCUGGGAAACCGGGUCUAAUACCGGAUAUGACUCCAUGACGCAUGUUGUGGGGUGGAAAGCCUUGUGCGGCUGAGGAUGGGCCCGCGGCCUAUCAGCUUGUUGGUGGGGUGAUGGCCUACCAAGGCGACGACGGGUAGCCGGCCUGAGAGGGCGA